Molecule: ribosomal RNA, 1149 nt
Filed under: human gut metagenome
Description: bacterial LSU rRNA
Rfam family: Bacterial large subunit ribosomal RNA
Source: RNAcentral
UGUGGAUAGGGGAGAAAUUCCAAUCGAACCCGGAGAUAGCUGGUUCUCCUCGAAAUAGCUUUAGGGCUAGCCUCGAUACAGAUUUGCGGAGGUAGAGCACUGAAUUUCCUAGGGGGCGUCAAAGCCUACCGAAGAAUAUCAAACUCCGAAUGCCGCGUAAUCGAUUAUCGGGAGUCAGACUGCACGAGAUAAGUUGGGCGGUCAAAAGGGAAAGAGCCCAGACCUUCAGUUAAGGUCCCAAAGUGCGCGUUAAGUGGAAAAGGAUGUGGGAUUUCGAAGACAACCAGGAUGUUGGCUCAGAAGCAGCCAUCCAUUCAAAGAGUGCGUAAUAGCUCACUGGUCGAGAGGUCCUGCGCCGAAAAUGUCCGGGGCUGAAACGCGCCACCGAAACUAAGGAACCGAAAGGUUGGUAGAGGAGCAUUGCAUGCGGGAAGAAGCAGUACCGUAAGGAGCUGUGGACUGCAUGGAAGAGAGAAUGCCGGAAUGAGUAGCGAGAAUAAGGUGAGAAUCCUUAUGGCCGAAUAUCCAAGGUUUCCAGAGUAAAGCUGAUCUGCUCUGGGUAAGUCGGGGCCUAAGGCGAGGACGAGAGUCGUAGCCGAUGGACAACAGGUGGAGAUUCCUGUACUGCGGUAUGACAGAACUGUGGGGACACGUAAGGAAAGCGGAAGCCGGGAAUGGAAAGCCCGGUGCAAGCGGGGUACCAGCCACUUUGGCAAAUCCGGGUGGCAAUGGGAAGCCGUGAUGCGGAGUGAAAUAAAGUAGCGAAGUCCGUGAGCCAUGCGUCAAGAAAAGCCGCUAUUGUUUAUACCGUACCCGUACCGUAAACCGACACAGGUGGAUGAGGAGAGAAUCCUAAGGCCGGCGGAAGAAGCAUUGUCAAGGAACUCGGCAAAAUGGCCCCGUAACUUAGGGAUAAGGGGUGCCUGGGAAACCAGGCCGCAGAGAAUAGGCUCAAGCAACUGUUUAGCAAAAACACAGGUCUAUGCGAAACCGAAAGGUGAGGUAUAUGGGCUGACGCCUGCCCGGUGCUGGAAGGUUAAGAGGAGAGGUUAGCGCAAGCGAAGCUUUGAAUUUAAGCCCCAGUAAACGGCGGCCGUAACUAUAACGGUCCUAAGGUAGCGAAAUUCCUUGUCGGGUAAGUUCCGACCC